CAAUCCCAUGAGUACAGCGGCGACCGGGUGAGUAACACGUGACUAACCUACCCUUGAGUGGGGAAUAACUCCGGGAAACCGGAGCUAAUACCGCAUAACACCGUAAGGUCAAAGGAGCAAUUCGCUUAAGGAGGGGGUCGCGGCUGAUUAGCUAGUUGGCGGGGUAAUGGCCCACCAAGGCUUUGAUCGGUAGCCGGCCUGAGAGGGCGCACGGCCACACUGGAACUGAAACACGGUCCAG
RNAcentral lists this ribosomal RNA (241 nucleotides) under uncultured bacterium. Its description in RNAcentral is "partial 16S ribosomal RNA". It matches the Rfam family "Bacterial small subunit ribosomal RNA", at positions 79 to 334 of the family's 1533-position model. The record is from RNAcentral.